Molecule: ribosomal RNA, 497 nt
Filed under: uncultured bacterium
Lineage: Bacteria
Description: partial 16S ribosomal RNA
Rfam family: Bacterial small subunit ribosomal RNA
Source: RNAcentral
ACUCAAAUGAAUUGACGGGGGCCCGCACAAGCGGUGGAGCAUGUGGUUUAAUUCGAUGCAACGCGAAGAACCUUACCUACCCUUGACAUGUCAAGAACCUCGGUUAAGCGCUGAGGGUGCCGAAAGGAACUUGAACACAGGUGCUGCAUGGCUGUCGUCAGCUCGUGUCGUGAGAUGUUGGGUUAAGUCCCGUAACGAGCGCAACCCUUGUCCUUCGUUGCCACCCGCAAGGGGGAACUCGAAGGAGACUGCCGAUGAUAAAUCGGAGGAAGGUGGGGAUGACGUCAAGUCAUCAUGGCCUUUAUGGGUAGGGCUACACACGUGCUACAAUGGGAUGAACAGAGGGAAGCCAACCUGCGAAGGGGAGCAAAUCCUGUAAAACAUCUCGUAGUCCGGAUCGGAGUCUGCAACUCGACUCCGUGAAGUUGGAAUCGCUAGUAAUCGCGGAUCAGAAUGUCGCGGUGAAUACGUUCCCGGGCCUUGUACACACCGCCCGU